AUUAAACGCUGGCGGCAUGCCUUACACAUGCAAGUCGAACGGCAGCACGGGUGCUUGCACCUGGUGGCGAGUGGCGAACGGGUGAGUAAUACGUCGGAACGUACCUUAUCGUGGGGGAUAACGCAGCGAAAGCUGUGCUAAUACCGCAUACGCCCUGAGGGGGAAAGCGGGGGAUCGCAAGAGCUCGCGCGAUUAGAGCGGCCGAUGCCUGAUUAGCUUGUUGGGGGGGUAGAAGCCCACCAAGGCGACGAUCAGUAGCUGGUCUGAGAGGACGAUCAGCCACACUGGGACUGAGACACGGCCCAGACUCCUACGGGAGGCAGCAGUGGGGAAUUUUGGACAAUGGGGGCAACCCUGAUCCAGCAAUGCCGCGUGAGUGAAGAAGGCCUUCGGGUUGUAAAGCUCUUUUGUCAGGGAAGAAACACCGGCUCUAACACAGUCCGGGAAUGACGGUACCUGAAGAAUAAGCACCGGCUAACUACGUGCCAGCCGCCGCGGUAA
Molecule: ribosomal RNA, 501 nt
Filed under: uncultured bacterium
Lineage: Bacteria
Description: partial 16S ribosomal RNA
Rfam family: Bacterial small subunit ribosomal RNA
Source: RNAcentral